RNAcentral lists this ribosomal RNA (497 nucleotides) under uncultured bacterium. RNAcentral describes it as "partial 16S ribosomal RNA". It matches the Rfam family "Bacterial small subunit ribosomal RNA", at positions 28 to 507 of the family's 1533-position model. The record is from RNAcentral.
GAUGAACGCUGGCGGCGUGCCUAAUACAUGCAAGUCGAGCGAACGGACGAGAAGCUUGCUUCUCUGAUGUUAGCGGCGGACGGGUGAGUAACACGUGGAUAACCUACCUAUAAGACUGGGAUAACUUCGGGAAACCGUAGCUAAUACCGGAUAAUAUUUUGAACCGCAUGGUUCAAAAGUGAAAGACGGUCUUGCUGUCACUUAUAGAUGGAUCCGCGCUGCAUUAGCUAGUUGGUAAGGUAACGGCUUACCAAGGCAACGAUGCAUAGCCGACCUGAGAGGGUGAUCGGCCACCUUGGAACUGAGACACGGUCCAGACUCCUACGGGAGGCAGCAGUAUGGAAUCUGCCGCAAUGGGCGAAAGUAUGACGGAGCAACGCCGCGUGAGUGAUGAAGGUCUUCGGAUCGUAAAACUCUGUUAUUAGGGAAGAACAUAUGUGUAAGUAACUGUGCACAUCUUGACGGUACCUAAUCAGAAAGCCACGGCUAACUACGUG